RNAcentral lists this ribosomal RNA (484 nucleotides) under Mycosphaerellaceae sp. MU-362. RNAcentral's name for it is "eukaryotic LSU rRNA". It matches the Rfam family "Eukaryotic large subunit ribosomal RNA", at positions 96 to 597 of the family's 3401-position model. Lineage: Eukaryota; Fungi; Ascomycota; Dothideomycetes; Mycosphaerellales; Mycosphaerellaceae. The record is from RNAcentral.
AAGCGGCAACAGCUCAAAUUUGAAAUCUGCGCAAGCCCGAGUUGUAAUUUGUAGAGGAUGCUUCUGGGCAGCGGCUGGUCUAAGUUCCUUGGAACAGGACGUCAUAGAGGGUGAGAAUCCCGUAUGCGACCAGCUGGCACCCGUCACGUAGCUCCUUCGACGAGUCGAGUUGUUUGGGAAUGCAGCUCUAAAUGGGAGGUAAAUUUCUCUAAAGCUAAAUACCGGCCAGAGACCGAUAGCGCACAAGUAGAGUGAUCGAAAGAUGAAAAGCACUUUGGAAAGAGAGUUAAAAAGCACGUGAAAUUGUUGAAAGGGAAGCGCAUGCAACCAGACUUGUCGGUGGUGUUCCGCCGGUCUUCUGACCGGUCUACUCGCCGCCGACAGGCCAGCAUCGUUUGGGAUCGCCGGAUAAAGGCCCUGGAAAUGUAGCUCCUCGGAGUGUUAUAGUCCUAGGCACAAUACGGCGCAUCCCGAGCGAGGUCCG